GUGCUUGCUUUGGCAGCACAUAUACUAAAAUUGAAA
RNAcentral lists this small nuclear RNA (36 nucleotides) under Cervus elaphus hippelaphus. Lineage: Eukaryota; Metazoa; Chordata; Mammalia; Artiodactyla; Cervidae. The record is from RNAcentral.